ACUCCUACGGGAGGCAGCAGUGGGGAAUAUUGCACAAUGGGCGCAAGCCUGAUGCAGCCAUGCCGCGUGUAUGAAGAAGGCCUUCGGGUUGUAAAGUACUUUCAGCAGUGAGGAAGGUGGGUAUGUUAAUAGCAUAUUCAUUUGACGUUAGCUGCAGAAGAAGCACCGGCUAACUCCGUGCCAGCAGCCGCGGUAAUACGGAGGGUGCGAGCGUUAAUCGGAAUUACUGGGCGUAAAGCGCAUGCAGGUGGUUUGUUAAGUCAGAUGUGAAAGCCCGGGGCUCAACCUCGGAAUUGCAUUUGAAACUGGCAAACUAGAGUACUGUAGAGGGGGGUAGAAUUUCAGGUGUAGCGGUGAAAUGCGUAGAGAUCUGAAGGAAUACCGGUGGCGAAGGCGGCCCCCUGGACAGAUACUGACACUCAGAUGCGAAAGCGUGGGGAGCAAACAGGAUUAGAUACCCUGGUAGGCCUAG
This 472-nucleotide ribosomal RNA is filed under the name uncultured bacterium. Its description in RNAcentral is "bacterial SSU rRNA". It matches the Rfam family "Bacterial small subunit ribosomal RNA", at positions 335 to 799 of the family's 1533-position model. The record is from RNAcentral.